GACGAACGCUGGCGGCGUGCUUAACACGUGCAAGUCGAACGGAAAGGCCUGCUUUCCCUUGUGGAUUGCGGGUACUCGAGUGGCGAACGGGUGAGUAACACGUGAGUGAUCUGCCCCCAACUUGGGUAUAAGCCUGGGAAACUGGGUCUAAUUCCCGAUAGGACUGCAGGGUGGUGCCUGUGGUGGAAAACGAUUUUCUAGUGGUUGGGGAUGAGCUCGCGGCCUAUCAGCUUGUUGGUGGGGUAAUGGCCUACCAAGGCGGCGACGGGUAGCCGGCCUGAGAGGGUGGACGGCCACAUUGGGACUGAGAUACGGCCCAGACGCCUACGGGAGGCAGCAGUGGGGAAUAUUGCACAAUGGGCGGAAGCCUGAUGCAGCGACGCCGCGUGGGGGAUGACGGCCUUCGGGUUGUAAACUCCUUUCGACCGCGAGGAAGCCACCUGGUUGGAAGGGUGGUGACGGUAGUGGUAGAAGAAGCACCGGCUAACUACGUG
This 494-nucleotide ribosomal RNA is filed under the name uncultured bacterium. Its description in RNAcentral is "partial 16S ribosomal RNA". It matches the Rfam family "Bacterial small subunit ribosomal RNA", at positions 28 to 507 of the family's 1533-position model. The record is from RNAcentral.